ACGGAAGGCAGCAGUGGGGAAUAUUGCACAAUGGGCGCGCCUGAUGCAGCGAUGCCGCGUGGGAAGAAGGUUUUCGGAUUGUAGACCUCUGUCAACAGGGACGAAAAUGACGGUACCUGUGAAGGAAGCUCCGGCUAACUACGUGCUAGCAGCUGCGGUAAUACGUAGGGAGCAAGCGUUAUCCGGAAUUACUGGGUGUAAAGGGAGUGUAGGCGGGACUGUAAGUCAGAUGUGAAAUAUACCGGCUCAACUGGUAGACUGCAUUUGAAACUGCGGUUCUUGAGUGAAGUAGAGGUAAGCGGAAUUCCUAGUGUAGCGGUGAAAUGCGUAGAUAUUAGGAGGAACAUCAGUGGCGAAGGCGGCUUACUGGGCUUUAACUGACGCUGAGGCUCGAAAGCGUGGGGAGCAAACAGGAUUAGAUACCCUGGUA
This 430-nucleotide ribosomal RNA is filed under the name uncultured Ruminococcus sp. RNAcentral describes it as "bacterial SSU rRNA". It matches the Rfam family "Bacterial small subunit ribosomal RNA", at positions 341 to 792 of the family's 1533-position model. The record is from RNAcentral. Lineage: Bacteria; Bacillati; Bacillota; Clostridia; Eubacteriales; Oscillospiraceae.